UAACAGAAACGUGAACAAGCGCAUAAGGUGAAGCAAUACAGAACCACUCUCAUCUCAUAAGAAGACGACGACGACGACAAUGCAGAAGAACCUUGAGAAAGACAAGAGACCACUGUUCGCACAGGGGGUCAUCUACGACAUGAGUUCGACGGGUGGAUACCACAAAGAUGGUGGUCCUUCGCCAAACCACUUUCAGAGUCCGCGAGCGCCAAUGUACCAGAGAGGAUCUCCAAGAUCUCCAUGGAGACCACUUGACGCCAGUUCACCGAGGUACGCCAACAGCCCUCGUGAUCAACGAAGGUUUUCCGAAGGUCUUUCGCAGUCUUGGAAUUCGCCGCAAGGAAGCAACAGAAUCCAGUGCUACGUCAAGCAGUCCAUGGUGGAAGACCCUUGGGCACAAUUGGAAAGAGAGAUGCUCGUAGUAAAGGCUGACGCAAGUUUUUCAGAGAGUCAGACUUUAGACACAGCUAAGGAUUAGUAGCGAGUGGAACUUAAUUUGUAAAUACUGCUCAAGAAUUACCCAUCACAAUUGCAAAUAUGUACUGUCACCCAACCAUGCCAAUUUAUAAACUUAUUUUGUCUUUCACGA
Molecule: long non-coding RNA, 589 nt
Organism: Ornithodoros turicata
Lineage: Eukaryota; Metazoa; Arthropoda; Arachnida; Ixodida; Argasidae
Exons: 3
Source: RefSeq, a predicted model, not a curated record